Molecule: ribosomal RNA, 301 nt
Filed under: uncultured bacterium
Lineage: Bacteria
Description: partial 16S ribosomal RNA
Rfam family: Bacterial small subunit ribosomal RNA
Source: RNAcentral
CAGUCGCCGCGGUAAUACGGAGGUCCCGAGCGUUGUUCGGAAUCACUGGGCGUAAAGGGAGCGUAGGCGGCGUGGUAAGUCAGAUGUGAAAUCCCGGGGCUCAACCCCGGAACUGCAUCCGAUACUGCCAUGCUAGAGGAUUGGAGAGGUAGCUGGAAUUCUUGGUGUAGCAGUGAAAUGCGUGGAGAUCAAGAGGAACACUCGUGGCGAAAGCGAGCUACUGGACAAUAACUGACGCUGAGGCUCGAAGGCCAGGGUAGCGAAAGGGAUUAGAUACCCCUGUAGUCCCUGUCUCUUAUAC